GGAGCUGUGCGUGAAAUGUAUCUGUCAUACAUAUAUCUGCGUUUUUAACCAUUAGAUGAAACAUUAGAUAAUUGUGCUUUGCCCUAAGAGUCUAUAGCAAGCCUCUGUUGCUGCAUCAUCUACGAUUGUUAGUUGCUGACGCCUGGGAAUUUAAUAGACACAAUGGAGAAGGGCAUGGCGGAAUCCUAUGCUGCUGGGGUUGCAGCUGACAGAGUGAACCAGGCUACCAGCACAAUAUUCUUUGACAAAGGAAUGAUCAGGUCAAAGAUAGUCCUCCUGAAAAUUGCAGAGGCGGUGAUGAACCUGAUCUGCAUAAUCUGCGUGGCCUGCGCGUUCAACCCCUACGUCUCUCAGGCGACCUUUCUCGAGUUUGUCGCCUCGACCGGUAUCAUCGUGGCGGUGAUUCUGGGCGUUCUGUACGUGUUUCACAUCAGAGAGAAGGUUGCCCAGCUACUGCGACUGAACUUUACGGAGUGUGUGUUCGCGGCCGUCUGGUGCUUCUUCUUCUUCGCAGCGUCUACAGCGUCCGUGGUGCACGGCAGCUCCUACCAGUACCAGCAGGCGCUGAUUGCCGCGGGCUUUUUCGGCUACCUGUCGAUGGUGCUGUACGGCAUCGACGCGUUCCUCAUGUUCCACGCCUGGAGGACCGGCCAGACGGCAGCGGCCCAGCAGGCCUCUGAGCAGGUCACCACGCCGGCCUACUAAGCCACCCGCCGCCGGCCGCCUCCGUGUCGGCUCAGCGCGGCCGGCCAGAGGGCGCCCUCGGCGCGCUGCCGCCCUGGGCAGACACCGGCGCGGCCGGCCACCGGUGGACACUCUGCACUGCCCGGAGUCCGGCACCCACCGCACGAUAGGUCAGCCAUCCACGUGUGAGCGGCGGGGACCACUUUACGGGAUAUGGCUAAAUCCUGAUCGGCGACGUGACACGAGGACACCUAAAAUGCCCUUAUUUGAUAGAUCUGUUGAUUAUUGUUCGUUGUUAUUCGUUUGGUGGGCAUCUGCGGAGUUCUAAUUUGGAGUAUCUUUUUCACUGCUCUUUAAUUCAGAUUCACUGUCACCAAGAACGUCGUUUACAAUUUUGUCGAGUAAGCAAUACUUUUCGAUGCUAGUGCGUGAUAGCCGUUCCAAAAAGCACAGUUGCUCAAUGUUACAUUCCCAAUGAGACUUCUUUCAAGCGGUGGCCACUCGCACCUGCACUUUGCACCAGUAUGGGUGUGGCUUUUUGCGAAGUAAGAUUGGUUUGGUAAUUGUUUGGACUCUGUUAAUUACCGCAUGAGGGCUUAUAAUGUUGUCAGCUGGUACUAAACGCGCUGAACUCCUCAUUGUAGCAGUAUGUCAGAAUUGGCCUGGUUUGACUCUGAGGGGGUAACGGUGGAGCCCAGUCUAGCUUCGGCUGUUUAUCAACGAAGGGGUAUCGCAGGGUAGCCUAUUAAGCCCACUGUUUUUGGACAGUGCCAGCCAAGGACGCUUUAUAUCUUUCGUUUGGCAGUAAAUUAAACCGCACACGGAUCGAAGUGUCACCAGACACCAGUGAAAGUCACCAGGCUGCCACCUAUUUUGUUAUUGCUUUACGCACUGGACCUUUAUGACCGAUCAUUUGCUGACUUUGUAAUCGCUUUACCGUGAUAUGUGAUAGUUUCGCUGAGGCAUUUUAACUAAUUGCCGUCAUUCUCGAUCAAGAUCAAACUUUGGGUUCCAUAGGACUUUUGGGACCCAUAAGACUUUACGUACACAUUUAAACGAUUAGAAAAAACCGGGUUCCUACUUCCUAGUGUAGCCUGGUGGUGCCAUUGGUCUCACUCAAUCCAACAAUAGCUUACAUGUGUAGUUCAGACGAUGAUCAGGCAGUUCGUGGUUUUAGAAAGCAUAGCAAUCGGCUGCGUUAGCCGUUAUUUAUCUGCGAGGUUCACCUUAUUGUUCGUCAUUUCGUUGCCAUGCAGUCCGUCGCAGCUACAAUUACAACGAUAAGCCGCCAUGGCGGCAGCUUUCCCCCGAGCCUUGUAAAGCUUGUGUGCCUCGUUUCUGUAGUGUUUUCGCGCAGGACCAGUCGAUCGUAUAGGAGCGGAGGAGAUAAGAGAAGUUCGAUGUUGUCUAUUGUGUGUAGCUUAGCGGCCAGUUGGUGCGAUGGUGUGCUGUAGGUACCCUGCUCCAAAAUCCCUGUCGUGGUGUAGUGCACGCGUUGCUCCUCUACAACCGGUAGAUCGCUUUAGUCCAGAACGGCAAGUAUCCGCCGUGGAAUCACAUCUGUGUGUUGGUGCUUCCUUUUCAGCGUGUUUUGAAAUAUGCUGGUAGUGGUACAAUGUGGGGUUUACCGCAUUACGUUUUCGUUUCUUAUUGUAUUGAUAGCCGCGGGGCCAGACAGUCAGGUGCUUUACAAAUUUAUUUAAUGGUUGUGCUUGGAGCAGUGGUAGUCGAAGUAGUACUCGUUCGCACUUUUCUGUACAUUCGUAUUUAUGCAGUGUGUACACCCGCUACGGCAACCAUUGCCCACGUGGUACAAUUAUAUUAGCUGUCAUGAUCGUAGCAUCGCGACCACAUAUCAGCUGUGGCGUGUGUAGAGUGUUGUGCUUUACGGCGCCGAGUCCGGUCACCAGCGUAGGCACCGCGGCGUGUCUGCCCACCGGCGUGUGUCUCCGGCCACUGCACCGCCGGCGUGUGCGGUCCCCAGGCAACCAGCCGGCCGGCCAGAGCUUCGUGGCGUCGUACACUGCAUGCUGUCGUGAUCGUGCAACAAUAAAUGGACUCGGUAUGUGGC
Molecule: unclassified non-coding RNA, 2755 nt
Filed under: Amphibalanus amphitrite
Lineage: Eukaryota; Metazoa; Arthropoda; Thecostraca; Balanomorpha; Balanidae
Description: plasmolipin-like, transcript variant X6
Source: RNAcentral